Molecule: ribosomal RNA, 326 nt
Filed under: Cercomonas sp.
Lineage: Eukaryota; Cercozoa; Cercomonadida; Cercomonadidae
Description: SSU rRNA
Rfam family: Eukaryotic small subunit ribosomal RNA (bases 111-326)
Source: RNAcentral
GAUUUCUGGUUUGGCGCAUUUGGCCCGCCACGCUACGUGGUUGUGUGCCGGUAUGCGCCUACCAUCCUUCCAGCACCUCACUAUUACUACCCUUUACUGGGCCUGUAGUAGCGAACUGGAUCAUUUACUUUGAAAAAAUUAGAGUGUUUAAAGCAGGCUUAUGCUAUGAAUACAUUAGCAUGGAAUAAUAAUUUAGGACUUUGGUUCUAUUUUGUUGGUUUCUAGGACUGAAGUAAUGAUUGAUAGGGAUAGUUGGGGGUGCUAGUAUUCCGCGGCCAGAGGUGAAAUUCUUGGAUUCGUGGAAGACUAACUACUGCGAAAGCAUU